GGUGGUUCUUGGGUGACGCACCCCAGAAUCAGGCUCUCUCUUCUCUGGUUCCCGGUGAGUCACCUGAGAACUGCA
Molecule: non-coding RNA, 75 nt
Organism: Myotis lucifugus (little brown bat)
Lineage: Eukaryota; Metazoa; Chordata; Mammalia; Chiroptera; Vespertilionidae
Source: Rfam